CGCUGCCCCUUCCCCACCUCUGCUUUCCCGGGUUAGACCAGAUCGGGGGUGAUGGGCAGGGUCGCGGAGAGGGGAGGGGCAGACAGUGGACGGGCAGGCGCCAGCGCCGUCUGAGGGGCACGCACUUCUGCUGUCAGGUGUGCGGACGGCGGCCGGGGCAGGCCGGCAGACACCGCCAUAUCCUCGGAUCUUAUGUUUUUAUUUUUAAGAAAAUGGAAGUCUGGACGGCGCUAUGAAACCUCACGUGGGCAGCUGAAUGGGGUCCCCGGUCGCCCUGUCCUGAGGAAACGAGCACAUCUCCCGACCAGCACACACCCCGGCAGCAGGACAGUGGUCAGCGAGGUCCGAGUUCCGAACAUGCCGUCCCAGGCGGAACCCCGAGAGCAGUUGCAUAUUUUGGGAGGAAGCCUGGAGUUCCUUCAACAGAGCAUGUCUUUGCCCCUUGAUGGGAAGAGCACGGCGCCAGGGCCGGGACGACACGUCCAUCCGCGGGCCUUCCAGCAGUCCUGCCCAGACACCCAGGAGAGCACUUUCUGCCAGAGCUGCUGACUUUUGCCAAUUUAUAUGCUAAUUCCAGAAAUGAUUCUUCCUGCAUUAAAUAAAAGCCGAAGA
RNAcentral lists this long non-coding RNA (612 nucleotides) under Dasypus novemcinctus (nine-banded armadillo). RNAcentral's name for it is "lncRNA (ENSDNOG00000052606.1)". Lineage: Eukaryota; Metazoa; Chordata; Mammalia; Cingulata; Dasypodidae. The record is from RNAcentral.